UUGCGUCCUCCUCCAAGUCAGCAGUUUAAUGACGUUGUCGACCUACAGACCUAUUGUGCGCGAGUGAUCGAGGGGUAGAGGGUGUAAGAGAGGAUCCUCAAAACUUCCAUCACACGCGUUGCAUUACUCGUUCGAACCAGGGAGGGUAUUCCUGAAUGCAGUGUCAUAGACACAGGGUAUGUGUCAGCCAGCUCCAUAGUUAGGGCACUGAUCAGGGAGUCGGCCAUUUUACGGACUAUCUCAAUUGUAAAAUCGUUCCAGUGCAAUGUAACGUUCGCUCCCUAAAAUAAUCCCACAAUGCACCACAGGAAAUCCAGCGUACCGAUGCUCACUGUGUCCCCCUACUGGAAAUGAUCAUGUUUUCUGGAAAAGAUGGAGGAUGAACUCUCAGCCAACUUCCGGCAACAAUUGACUUUUAGUAUCGCACCUCCAGAGACACACAGACCUUCUCAAAUAUGCACAAGAAUGCUAGUGUCUUCCUUCACCUCAGCAACUGUUUGUUUUUCCCUACCUGUGAAAGAUGGUCCUACUGGUGUUUGCCUGCCAGAGUAAUGUACUUGUCCGUUUUCUUACAAAAUAUGCACGAGAUACUGGCAGACCCGUCCUGGACCUAAGUUUCUUUGUCGGAUAUUGAGUUGUUGAAGUACUUCUACCUGAUGACACGGACUGGUCUUCGUGAGCAUCUUGAGCAUCAGAACGCAAUGUGACGCGUUUCUCGGCCACGUCCAAGUGCUUUUUGUCAAUUAAACACCUGUAGCAUGUGGAGUGAAACCCAGCGUCUUCGGGAACAUUGUCAAACUCGAUUUCUAGACAACGUUUGUAUGUUUCUGCUAUUCUCCGAUUCUCACCGUGCAAGCCAAGCCACUGUUUCUGAAUGUAUCCCACUGUGUGCGUGUAAACCCCUUUGUUUCUUCUUUCUUUAUGGGCGUGAGAUGCAUAUAGCACUGUUUAUAAUCCUUUUUCCGGAGUUUCGAAUGAGAUCUGGUCGUAAUUUCCUCUUUUUCGCUACUCGAUAUUGACGACAAGGGCGCAGACAUCUUGGACUCAUGUUUACGUGUCGUUCCAAAAAGUGGCCACCUUAUUGGUCUAGCGGGAAGCAUGUGACGAUUGGUCCGCGAAACCUCAUCACUCAUGAUCAAAAUAUGAUUACGCGAGGAAAGAACUAUUUCUGACUUUAAACACGAAUAAAAAAUAAACUGCAGGAUUACACAUGGAGAACUUUUAUUUUCUCGCUCAAGACCAACAGAUCUUUUUAUUACGGCCUAUUUUGAAAAGAGGGAAAAUCAAUCAGAGGUAUUGCACAAACACUGGACAUGGACAAUACAACAAUUUGGACUAUCCUGAAAAAGACAGAAUCCACUGGUGUAUUGAGCGACAA
Molecule: long non-coding RNA, 1378 nt
Organism: Ictalurus punctatus (channel catfish)
Lineage: Eukaryota; Metazoa; Chordata; Actinopteri; Siluriformes; Ictaluridae
Exons: 3
Source: RefSeq, a predicted model, not a curated record